Molecule: long non-coding RNA, 673 nt
Organism: Prinia subflava (tawny-flanked prinia)
Lineage: Eukaryota; Metazoa; Chordata; Aves; Passeriformes; Cisticolidae
Exons: 3
Source: RefSeq, a predicted model, not a curated record
UGACUCUUACACUGUGAAGGAAGCGAGGAGAGCUGAAGAAUAUAUUUUCAAAUGGAAGAACAUCUUUCCUAUCCUUGUUUUCCAGUGAUGAUCCAGUCUGCUAUGAGGUUGAAAAUUCAAUUUUCCUGGAAAGUGCCUCAUUUCAGGUCCCAGGGAUGGAACAGGGACGUGAUCUGGUCUUCUGUGAGGCAUGCAAGGAGGCUGAAUUAAGAGAACAGGAUCCAAACAUCUGCACAACGAUCUGUAUCAUCUCCUCCUCCUCCGGGAUGUGUCUGGAAUAUUGUCUGCUCUGUGUGACAGGUAGAAAGGAGCUAACAACUGCCUAACCUGUUCUGUGUGGGUGAAAAGAGCUCAGAAUUCGACCCCUGGGUUGUUCACACUGAAGUGGAAAGCCUGUUCCUGCUGCUGCUGAGGCAACCCUCCCCUGGCUGAAGCCAAAGCUCCACGGUCCCUGUGAAAUCCCACCUGCAAUUCUGCAGCUGCCCGUAAAGAAGUGAGUCUGCUCCUCACAAAAUGUAUUUGAGCUGCUCUCCUCAGGGAUUCCAGGCUUCUGCAGUCCCCGUGUCUGGGUUGUAUCUGUGUAUCCAUCUGUCAAACGGGAUCAAUGAGCCAAACUCUCCCUAAAUAUUAACUUCCUACAUGUUUCAUAAAAUAGUCAGAGGCAGAAAUUUGG